CACGUAGGGGGCGAGCGUUGUCCGGAUUCAUUGGGCGUAAAGCGCGCGCAGGCGGCUCGGCAAGUCGGGUGUGAAGACCUGGGGCUCAACCCCGGGCGUGCAUCCGAUACUGCCGGGCUUGAGGCAGGUAGGGGAGAUCGGAAUUCCUGGUGUAGCGGUGAAAUGCGCAGAUAUCAGGAGGAACACCGGUGGCGAAGGCGGAUCUCUGGGCCUGUCCUGACGCUGAGGCGCGAAAGCUAGGGGAGCGAACAGG
This 253-nucleotide ribosomal RNA is filed under the name uncultured bacterium. RNAcentral describes it as "partial 16S ribosomal RNA". It matches the Rfam family "Bacterial small subunit ribosomal RNA", at positions 524 to 776 of the family's 1533-position model. The record is from RNAcentral.